Molecule: ribosomal RNA, 525 nt
Filed under: uncultured Sphingosinicella sp.
Lineage: Bacteria; Pseudomonadati; Pseudomonadota; Alphaproteobacteria; Sphingomonadales; Sphingosinicellaceae
Description: bacterial SSU rRNA
Rfam family: Bacterial small subunit ribosomal RNA
Source: RNAcentral
UUUUCUUCAGUUCGGCUGGAUCGGUGACAGGUGCUGCAUGGCUGUCGUCAGCUCGUGUCGUGAGAUGUUGGGUUAAGUCCCGCAACGAGCGCAACCCUCGUCCUUAGUUGCCAUCAUUCAGUUGGGCACUCUAAGGAAACCGCCGGUGAUAAGCCGGAGGAAGGUGGGGAUGACGUCAAGUCCUCAUGGCCCUUACACGCUGGGCUACACACGUGCUACAAUGGCGGUGACAGUGGGCAGCAACCUCGCGAGAGGUAGCUAAUCUCCAAAAACCGUCUCAGUUCGGAUUGUUCUCUGCAACUCGAGAGCAUGAAGGCGGAAUCGCUAGUAAUCGCGGAUCAGCAUGCCGCGGUGAAUACGUUCCCAGGCCUUGUACACACCGCCCGUCACACCAUGGGAGUUGGUUUCACCCGAAGGCAGUGCUCUAACCCGCAAGGGAGGAAGCUGACCACGGUGGGAUCAGCGACUGGGGUGAAGUCGUAACAAGGUAGCCGUAGGGGAACCUGCGGCUGGAUCACCUCCUUU